UAUCUCUCGGUUCAAAAACAAAAACGAGAAAACCUUUUUUUGCCAAUUGGAAAACCCUAACCCCUUUUCAGAUUGACAUUGAGAGAAGCUUCGAGAUGAAACCACGAGAGGCGGCGCGGUGAGAACCCUUCAUCGGGACUGAAAUCGUUGUCGAGACAGAGAACGACAGCGAGUUCUGAUUUCGCGAACGCUUCCGAUUCCCCUGCCAUCGUGAACCCUUCUGAGCACCGUCGAGAUUGUAGUGCCGUCAAGAACUUCCCACUGCAGCUUCCAAUUUGCGACAUCCUUACCGUUCGACUCAUGUUGCCUUCGAAGAUUUGAGAUCACACAUGCAACAACUCAGUUUCGCACUUGACCCUUCUAUAUUCAAAGCUUUUAAUUCCUGUAAUUUAAGAGACGAUGAUUGUGGAAAGAGAGCAUUCUUCAAGUAGUGGUUCUUCUGGAAAUUGGCUUUCCCAAAACAAGGAACAUGAGAAGACUAGUGUUGUAGCAAGACAUGUGUGACUCGUGUGAGUACAAAUUUCAUUUGCAAUACUCAUAUCAAUAGUGUGAGAGAGCAACAUAAAUUUUGGUAGAACUAGAAGAAUAGGUAAGAGUUGCUUCUCUACUUGAUGAGGAGAUGGAGCUACAUAAAUAUCAGUAGAACUAGAAGAAUAUACAAAAGCUAAUUCUACUUGAUGAUGAGGGAAGACCACCAACCCCUUUGUGACACUUCCAUUUUUUCAUAAAAAUUUAGUCGAAAGUUUCUUCUGGUGUGGUGCAGAUUUUGCUGUCAUGAUGCCGUGGUAACAGUUCUAAUGUUGUGAAGUUGAUAUUCUCGAAUAUUGACUCAUGGAAGUUUGUGGGAGCCUUAGUCUCUUUCUAUGCCUUAUUUAUGGUUUUAUAAAUGGUUCUUAGGGCUAGGCAGCCAUAAUAUCCUUCUAAUGGUGUGUCCUAGUUAGGAUAUGGUUGCUUAAUGUUUUGUCAGAAUGUAACACAUUUAGGAUGUUAGUCUUUGAUCAUGUAUUGCUUGGGUGAGACACUUAUAUCUUGUAAAGACUUUGUAAGAUAUUGUUUGAAAUUUAAUUGUGAUUAUGAUUCUAUUUGUAAAAUAAUGGAUUAAACAUUACUGAA
Trifolium pratense (red clover) is the source of this 1113-nucleotide long non-coding RNA. RefSeq lists it as uncharacterized. The transcript has 3 exons. Lineage: Eukaryota; Viridiplantae; Streptophyta; Magnoliopsida; Fabales; Fabaceae. The record is from RefSeq and is a predicted model, not a curated record.